Molecule: ribosomal RNA, 309 nt
Filed under: Eurytemora environmental sample
Lineage: Eukaryota; Metazoa; Arthropoda; Copepoda; Calanoida; Temoridae
Description: SSU rRNA
Rfam family: Eukaryotic small subunit ribosomal RNA
Source: RNAcentral
UAGCGUAUAUUAAAGUUGUUGUGGUUAAAAAGCUCGUAGUUGGAUGUCGGCGUGCAUUGGUCGGUUUGUAUAGCUACAAUACUGACUCUCUGGCACGUUUCUUGGUCAGAAUUUGGUGGGUGAUCUUAAACGAUUGUCCGCCAGGACUGGCUGGUUUACUUUGAAAAAAUUAGAGUGCUUAAAGCAGGCCUUGUUGCCUGAAUAUUCGUGCAUGGAAUAAUAGAAUAGGACGUUGUUUCUAUUUUGUUGGUUGUUGGAAGGAACGUAAUGAUUAAUAGGGAUUGCCGGGGGCAUUUGUAUUCAAGCGCU